RNAcentral lists this ribosomal RNA (253 nucleotides) under uncultured bacterium. RNAcentral's name for it is "partial 16S ribosomal RNA". It matches the Rfam family "Bacterial small subunit ribosomal RNA", at positions 524 to 776 of the family's 1533-position model. The record is from RNAcentral.
UACGUAGGGUGCGAGCGUUGUCCGGAAUUAUUGGGCGUAAAGAGCUCGUAGGCGGCUUGUCGCGUCGAAUGUGAAAACCCACGGCUCAACUGUGGGCGUGCGGGCGAUACGGGCAGACUUGAGUACUGCAGGGGAGACUGGAAUUCCUGGUGUAGCGGUGGAAUGCGCAGAUAUCAGGAGGAACACCGGUGGCGAAGGCGGGUCUCUGGGCAGUAACUGACGCUGAGGAGCGAAAGCGUGGGGAGCGAACAGG